This 253-nucleotide ribosomal RNA is filed under the name uncultured bacterium. RNAcentral describes it as "partial 16S ribosomal RNA". It matches the Rfam family "Bacterial small subunit ribosomal RNA", at positions 524 to 776 of the family's 1533-position model. The record is from RNAcentral.
UACGUAGGGGGCUAGCGUUGUCCGGAAUCAUUGGGCGUAAAGAGCGUGUAGGCUGCUCGGUCAGUCCGCUGUAAAAGUCAAAGGCUCAACCUUUGAAUGUCAGUGGAUACUGCCGGGCUAGAGUCCGGAAGAGGCGAGUGGAACUCCUGGUGUAGCGGUGGAAUGCGCAGAUAUCAGGAAGAACGCCCGUGGCUAAGGCGGCUCUCUAGUACGGUACUGACGCUGAGACGCGAAAGCGUGGGGAGCGAACAGG